AGGGCCGUACCCGUGGCAUAUGGAGGACGUGGCCCUAAAAAGCAAAAUUAAUUAAUUGAUUAAAAAUCAUUGCAAUUAAAAAAAAAAUGACAUUGAAAUGUCAGCUUGCCCAGCAAAUGGCUAUUUCUCCAACUCGUUAUUGUUUGCAGAACCCUAUUUUUGUGGGUAUUCUUCCACCUAUAAGCUACAGGAUGGUGGCCCCUUUGCCAGGCUCAAGGGGUGAAUGCUGUGUAGUCAAAGGAAACCAUGUAAUGUCACUCUCCUUGCCAGAGACAGCUUUAGAGAUGGGGAUGUGACUCAACUGCAGCCAAUAAAAAAUUUGAAGAAAAAAAAAAAAAAAAAAGGAGUUCCCAUUGUGGUGCAGAGCAAACGAACUCGACUAGGAUCCAUGAGGAUUCGGGUUCCAUCCCUGGCCUCACUCAGUGGGUUAAGGAUCCGGUGUUGCCAUGAGCUGAGCUGUAGGUCGCAGACGCACCUCAGAUCUCGUGUUGCUGUGGCUAUGGUGUAGGCUGGUGGCUACAGCUCCGAUUCGACCCCUAGCCUGGGAACCUCCAUAUGCUGCGGGAGCAGCCCUAAAAAGCAAAAGCAAAAGAAAAAAAAAAAAAAAAAGGAGAAUUCUGCUGCAGGUAUUGGUGGCUCCUAGGAAAGAUUUUCCUCCUGGAAGAAGAGAGGUACCCGAAGGGAAAUCCCUUCCUCUCACUUUGGAUUCAGUUGUGUAAAUGUGAUGCCCGGGGCCUAGGCUGUCAUCUUGCAGUCAUGAAGCAACAAACGCGAAGAUGAAGCAACAUAACUUCUUGUGGGUCAGAUAACAAAAUCCGUUUGUGUAAGCCCUCUCUAAUCAGAUGUUCUGCAAAUCGUUGCUGGAAGCAACUUGAGAGAAUUUCUGAUAAGGCCAGGGAGGUGAAUUGAAGAAUGUGUAGAAAUCAUUUCAUUAUUUUGACGGUUAUUACAAUAGUAACAGACAUUUAUUAGUACUUUGAAAGUGUAAAAGCACUUCCCCUCGACACACUUUAUGGAGAUACUUUACUUUUUGAAGGUAGCACCUUCACAUGGCACUUUCAAAAUUAAAAAUAUGUUUCCAUCUCUUGAAUCAAGCUGGAAAUGAGAGGAGCCAAGUGAUUUGCGUGUGAACAACGUUCAUUUUAUUUUAUUUUUGGCUUUUUAGGGCUGCACCUGCGGCACAUGGAGGUUCCCAGGUGUGGCCCUAAAAAGACAAAAAAAAAAAAAAAAAAAAAAACAACCAAAAAACCAAAACCAAAACCCAAACCCCAACUCCCAAACCCUCAUAGAUACAGAGAACAAAUUGGUGGUUGCUAGAGGGAAGGGAGUGGGUGAAACCGGUGGAGGGAAUCAAGAGGCACAAACUUCCAGUUAAAAAAUAAAUAAGUCAUGGGAUGUAAUAUACGGCAUGGUGACUACAGUCAAUAAUACUGUGUUAUAUAUUUCAAAGCCGCCAAGAGAGUAGUCUUGAAACUUCUCAUCAUAAGAAGAACAUUUUUUGAAACUUUGUAUGGUGAUGGAUGGUGAUUAGAAUUAUUGCAGUUAUCAUUUUGCAGUGUUCGCAAAUACUGAAUCCUGCUGUACACCUAAAACUAAUGUGUCGAUGACUCUUCAAUUUAAAAAACCAAAUAAAAUAACGCAUUUGGACAGGCAAAAAAAAUUUCCAUACUUUUUUCCAACCAUGGAUUGUCAUUUAUAUUUGACUACUUGCCUAUGUUAAUUUCAAGUAGCUCCUUUUUUUUUUUUUUUUUUUUUUUUUGGUUUUUCCAGCCGCCCCAUAGCAUAAGGAAUUCUCAGGCCAGGGAUCAGAUCCGAGUCACGGUUGUGACUUAACAUGUUGCAGCUUCGGCAAUGCUGGAUCCUUACUUAACCCACUGUGCUAGGCUGGGGAUCAAACCUGCAUCCCAGAGC
This 1911-nucleotide long non-coding RNA is filed under the name Sus scrofa (pig). Its description in RNAcentral is "lncRNA (ENSSSCG00000060835.1)". The record is from RNAcentral. Lineage: Eukaryota; Metazoa; Chordata; Mammalia; Artiodactyla; Suidae.